AAAGAAAGGUGGAAGAUGUUCCCUCUUUUUCUCUUUCUGUCCCUUUUGCUUCUUUAUUCUUUGGUUUCUUCAAACUCAAAUGUGUGGCAUGUUGACAAAAAAAGAAAGAA
RNAcentral lists this non-coding RNA (110 nucleotides) under Fragilariopsis kerguelensis. The record is from RNAcentral. Lineage: Eukaryota; Bacillariophyta; Bacillariophyceae; Bacillariales; Bacillariaceae.